ACAUGUACGGAACUCGCCAGAGAUGGCUUGGUGCUCGAAAGAGAACCGUAACACAGGUGCUGCAUGGGCUGUCGUCAGCUCGUGUCGUGAGAUGUUGGGUUAAGUCCCGCAACGAGUGCAACCCUUGUCAUUAGUUGCUACAUUUAGUUGGGCACUCUAAUGAGACUGCCGGGUGGACAAACCGGAGGAAGGUGGGGAUGACGUCAAGUCCUCAUGGCCCUUAUAGGUAGGGCUACACACGUCAUACAAUGGAUGGUACAAAGGGUCGCCAACCCGCGAGGGGGAGCCAAUCCCAUAAAGCCAUUCGUAGUCCGGAAUCGCAGUCUGCAACUCGACUGCGUGAAGUCGGAAUCGCUAGUAAUCGCAGAUCAGCAUGCUGCGGUGAAUACGUUCCCGGGUCUU
Molecule: ribosomal RNA, 402 nt
Filed under: uncultured Polaromonas sp.
Lineage: Bacteria; Pseudomonadati; Pseudomonadota; Betaproteobacteria; Burkholderiales; Comamonadaceae
Description: bacterial SSU rRNA
Rfam family: Bacterial small subunit ribosomal RNA
Source: RNAcentral